CCUACGGGUGGCAGCAGUGGGGAAUAUUGCACAAUGGGGGAAACCCUGAUGCAGCCACGCCGCGUGAGUGAAGAAGUAUUUCGGUAUGUAAAGCUCUAUCAGCAGGGAAGAAAAUGACGGUACCUGAGUAAGAAGCCCCGGCUAACUACGUGCCAGCAGCCGCGGUAAUACGUCGGGGGCAAGCGUUAUCCGGAUUUACUGGGCGUAAAGGGAGCGUAGACGGCGAUACAAGUCUGAAGUGAAAGCCCGGGGCUCAACCCCGGGACUGCCUUUGAAACUGUGGUGCUGGAGUGCGGGAGAGGCAAGCGGAAUUUCUAGUGGAGCGGUGAAAUGCGUAGAUAUUAGGAAGAACACCAGUGGCGAAGGCGGCUUACUGGACUGUAACUGACGCUGAGGCAUGAGAGCAUGGGGAGCAAACAGGAUUAGAUACCCCAGUAGUC
This 440-nucleotide ribosomal RNA is filed under the name uncultured bacterium. Its description in RNAcentral is "partial 16S ribosomal RNA". It matches the Rfam family "Bacterial small subunit ribosomal RNA", at positions 338 to 795 of the family's 1533-position model. The record is from RNAcentral.